Non-coding RNA from Prionailurus viverrinus (fishing cat), 500 nucleotides. NCBI's taxonomy places the organism in Eukaryota, Metazoa, Chordata, Mammalia, Carnivora, Felidae. The record is from the annotation of a RefSeq genome assembly.
CCUGCAGCUGGGAGACGAGCCCCAGCCCCAGAAGUCCCAGGUGUUCCCAUUCUGUGAUCAGCACAGAACACACACACCUCACCAUGGAGUUUGUGCUGGGCUGGGUUUUCCUGGUUGCUCUUUUAAAAGGUGUCCAGUGUGACGAACAGCUGGUGGAGUCUGGGGGAGACCUGGUGAAGCCUGGGGGGUCCCUGAGACUCACCUGUGUAGCCUCUGGAUUCAACGUCGAUAGCUAUGCAAUGAGCUGGGUCCGCCAGGCUCCAGGGAAGGGGCUGCAGUGGGUCGCAUACAUUUAUACUAUUGGAGGUGGCACAAACUACGCAGACUCCGUGAAGGGCCGAUUCACCAUCUCCAGAGACAACGCCAAGAACACGCUGUAUCUGCAGAUGAACAACCUGAAGACUGAGGACACAGCCACAUAUUACUGUGCGAGAGACACAUGGUGGCACGGAUGGAUGAGGCAAAACAGAGAAUCAGCAUUAUAGAGGACAACCUUAUAG